CCUACGGGUGGCAGCAGUGGGGAAUAUUGGACAAUGGGGGCAACCCUGAUCCAGCCAUGCCGCGUGUGUGAAGAAGGCCCUCGGGUUGUAAAGCACUUUCAGUGAGGAAGAACGCCUGGUGGUUAAUACCCAUCAGGAAAGACAUCACUCACAGAAGAAGCACCGGCUAACUCCGUGCCAGCAGCCGCGGUAAUACGGAGGGUGCGAGCGUUAAUCGGAAUUACUGGGCGUAAAGCGCGCGUAGGUGGCUUGAUAAGCCGGUUGUGAAAGCCCCGGGCUCAACCUGGGAACAGCAUCCGGAACUGUCAAGCUAGAGUGCAGGAGAGGAAGGUAGAAUUCCCGGUGUAGCGGUGAAAUGCGUAGAGAUCGGGAGGAAUACCAGUGGCGAAGGCGGCCUUCUGGACUGACACUGACACUGAGGUGCGAAAGCGUGGGUAGCAAACAGGAUUAGAUACCCGGGUAGUC
RNAcentral lists this ribosomal RNA (465 nucleotides) under Vreelandella stevensii. RNAcentral's name for it is "partial 16S ribosomal RNA". It matches the Rfam family "Bacterial small subunit ribosomal RNA", at positions 338 to 795 of the family's 1533-position model. The record is from RNAcentral. Lineage: Bacteria; Pseudomonadati; Pseudomonadota; Gammaproteobacteria; Oceanospirillales; Halomonadaceae.